This 253-nucleotide ribosomal RNA is filed under the name uncultured bacterium. RNAcentral describes it as "partial 16S ribosomal RNA". It matches the Rfam family "Bacterial small subunit ribosomal RNA", at positions 524 to 776 of the family's 1533-position model. The record is from RNAcentral.
UACGUAGGUGGCGAGCGUUGUCCGGAAUCACUGGGCGUAAAGCGCGCGCAGGCGGCGAUCUACGUCUGGGGUGAAAGCCCGGGGCUCAACCCCGGGAGGCGGAUGGAUACUGCAAGGCUCGAGUCCGGAAGAGGCGAGUGGAAUUCCCGGUGUAGCGGUGAAAUGCGCAGAUAUCGGGAGGAACACCAAUGGCGAAGGCAGCUCGCUGGGACGGUACUGACGCUGAGACGCGAAAGCGUGGGGAGCAAACAGG